Hermetia illucens (black soldier fly) is the source of this 464-nucleotide long non-coding RNA. RefSeq lists it as uncharacterized. Lineage: Eukaryota; Metazoa; Arthropoda; Insecta; Diptera; Stratiomyidae. The record is from RefSeq and is a predicted model, not a curated record. The transcript is spliced from 3 exons.
CACCCAACUACCCGGGAGUGUGUUCACCUUUUCGUUACGUACGAGUCGAAAAUUGAUUAAGUCAAUUGUCUUGUUUAUGGCGGUGCCGGUCUUCACGAAAUUAAGUGCAAGUAAAAGCGAACUGAAAGUCAUUAAUUAGCAGCCAUAAAUUCUGGAGAAUCGGGGGCACCCCUUGAAAACUAAGAAAGAUACUCGUGCAAACCCAGGCGUCUUGCAUUCAGUUCGAAAGUCAAGUCUUAAUUUAAACUCGUAUUUCUUUUGCACAUCUUCAAUUGAUUCAAUUCAAGCUCCGGAGCCAUGCCAAUGUAGAGGCAACCCACUAUUGAGAUGAAUUCCGAUGUGAGAUGAGCAUCAAUGCUUCAUGCAAUGUGACGUCAAGCAGGGGACAUGCACGGGAAAGCAGCAAAUUAAUUUUUAAAAAUAAAUUCAAAUUAGUUUCGUAAACAAUGAAUGGAUUCUAGCAG